ACCAUCAUCCUGCCACUGCCUUCUGUCAUCCUUGACAGAAGUACCUGAGGCUAAGGUCCUUGCCAUCCUCCUGUCACCACCCUCUUCCCCUACUCCUCACCCUUCUCCUGCCACUCAAGUGACCACUGGUUGUAGUGGGCCCUGCAUGCAUUGGAUCUAGCAACAUCCACCCUUGGGGUUGCCAGAUCUAAGGGAGAUGGGAGGAGGUCGAUCCAGAUGGACAACAAAGGUGAGGGGUGUCGGUCGAGGAGGAGUAGGUCUACGUUUCAAGAUCAACAGUGACAGUGAUGCCUCCACAACAACUUGGCAACACCAACCACAACACUUCUUCUAGGAUAUGGGCAAAGGUGAGAAGGCAAGGGGUGCACAAGGUUGAGUGUC
Molecule: long non-coding RNA, 381 nt
Filed under: Oryza brachyantha (malo sina)
Lineage: Eukaryota; Viridiplantae; Streptophyta; Magnoliopsida; Poales; Poaceae
Description: long non-coding RNA (OBRA_LNC001608)
Source: RNAcentral